RNAcentral lists this unclassified non-coding RNA (203 nucleotides) under rhizosphere metagenome. Its description in RNAcentral is "partial ribosomal RNA internal transcribed spacer region". The record is from RNAcentral.
GUUGGUGAACCAGCGGAGGGAUCAUUACUGAGUUGCAAAACUCCAAACCAUUGUGUUCUUGAAUUAUCUGUUGCCUCGGCAGGCCGCCCCAGGGCGGGGCGCCUACAAGGCCUGCCGAAAGCACCCCUAAAACUCUUCUGAAACGCGUCUUCUGAAGCACUGAGAAAUAAUCAAAACUUUCAACAACGGAUCUCUUGGUUCUG